UUUUUUUAACGCCACUAUGUUCAAAAACAAAAGGGAGCAAAGCUGUCAGCUGGAAGUGAAACGGUCAGCGUCUGCCUGGUAAUCUUCCAUCUGUGCCACAGCGAUUUUCACCAGCAAUUUAAAAAAUCCUGUCAUAAGCAGAAAACAGAUCUGGCCACGAAAGUAAACUCCGCUUCCUGCCAGUGACUGAAUGUGACUUCCAGGUUUAUAAACUCCGAGGCCACUCACAUCACGUUAGCUGUUGAGCCGGGGUGAGGUUUGGCUUUCAGAGAUGUUUACAAUAUUUUUCAAGUUUUGUAAUAAGCGAGUGUCCCGUGAAACUCACCACGUGGACAGCAGGAAGGGGGCAGCCUGGCAGUCUUACUCCGUGUUCCCGGUGCUGGGAGCUGCCCUGCCAGCCAAAGAGAGAGGUUUAAACAGUGUCAGAGAGACACAGUGGUGCCGAGUUAGACGCUGUGGACAGCCGUUAUCUGCAGGUCUACAUCCCAGUGCUGAGAGAACUCAUCCUUUCUCAAACUCUAGCAGAUUAAAGGUUUGCAUGUGCCGUGGGCAGGAAGCCGCCGUUUCUGGGAAUAUGAGGAAAAGGCAUGUCUUCAUCCUCAUGGUGGCGAGAGGGCUGCUGCACCUCCAGGCCCUGUAUUCCAGGCAGGAAGAAAGCUUCUCCGGGACUUUGGUUCCCAUGUGGGAAGAGAGCAAACUCCAUCAGUGUUCACAAACAAGAGGUCGGUGUGGACUCGGGACGAGCUUCCCGCAGGGGAUCCUCUCUGAAGGAAGAGGAGGCUGUCCACGGUGGCAGGUGAGCCUGAGGGGCAGGUGGCGGCUGAACCGGCUGUGCAGCAUUGGCCGCUGAGCCCGGAUCUCUUCUCCGUCCUGCUCAGCCCACGCUGUGCCCAGGCGGGUUGGCAUCCAGUGGGUGUGAUCAUUGGACAACACCCGUGGGACCAGAGGGUGGGGCAGAGAGAGGGCGGAAGCUCGUGCCCCUGCUCUGGGUCUGCAGGCCUGGGCCCCACGGGAGCACUGCUGCCUUUGCCUUCGGGUGAGAGUGCUGAUGGUUUUCCGUGUUGCUACUGGGCCACCUGGCCACCCCUAGCCUGGACUUCCCUGCUGGCUCAGUGGUACAGAAUCCGCCUGCAGCGCAGGAGACCCAUGCUUGAUCCCUGGGUCAGGAAGAUCCCUGGAGAAGGAAAUGGCAACCCUCUCCAGAGGAGCCUGGCGGGCUAUAGUCCAUGUGGUCGCAGAGUCGGACACGACCGGGUGACUAACGCUAAUGCUAACUCGCCCAAACUUCUGUAAAUAAAAGCUUUCCAGGUGAGCCAUCUGCUUCCUGUGUGGAGCCUGGCUGACCGAGGCAUCUAUGGGGUCUGCCUGGGGGAUACGGGAAACUCGGUACUCGGGGGCCCCAACUCAGAGCCAUCACUUCAGAAAUGUCUCCUGCUAACCCUGCCCUUGGGGUCACAACUCUGGGUAUUUUCUUUGACUCCGAGAACACCCUCGCCCACGUCACACAUGAACGACCAUGAUCCUGCUCUCUGUAGGGCGGGCAUGAGGAGCAGGCCUGCUGUACCCUCUUUCCUGAGACGCGAUUGCCUUCGGCAAUCGCCCCCGGAGAGAGGGGAGCAGCAGGGGCGGGGGCGGAGAGCUGGGACCUACUUCCUGGACGGGGCUUCCUGGCGGCUCAGUGGUAAAGAACCUGCCUGCAGUGCAGGAGACCCGGGCUCGAUUCCUGGGUCGGGAAGAUCCCCUGGAGAAAGGAAUGGCCACCCACUCCAUCCCAUGGAUGGAGGAGCCUGGUGGGCUACAGUCCAUGGGGUCGCAGAGUCGGACACGACUUAGUGACUAAACCAACCACCACUUCCUGGACGGAGCCUGCAAGGACCAGGCUGAGGCAGGGGGCAGUCAGUGAAGGGAGGGGCUACACCCUCCAGGAGCUCAGAGCCGGAAUCACUGCUCACAGCCUGUGUCUCUUUGCUCGUGUUUUCAGCACCAUAAGAGCCCACUGCUGUUUUUUGUGUUUGCAUUUCUCCCCUCAUCAUUUCAAUUUCUUUUUUAAAAUUGAAGUGGAGCUGAUUUACAACGUUGCGUUGAUUUCUGCUGCAUAUCAAAACGGCUCAGUUAUGCACAUACAUACAUUCCUUUUAUAUUCCUUUCCAUUUUGAUUUAUUACUGGACUCUGAAUAUAGUUCCCUGGGCUAUACAGAGGGACAUUCCAAUGGAUUUUGAUGUGAGUUUUACUAAAACCAACGCUUUUAUUUCCUUAUUGUUAUUACUGUUUUCCUACUGAAAAAAUUGUUUUCAUUUGUUUUUAACAGAUAUUCUGCUAUCUUGAUUUUGAUUUUUCAGUAACAGAAGAAUUUAAAGGUUUAAAAAUAUUUCUAGAUGGUAGGCUUGUUUCCUAGUUUCUACUUUUAUUAUUAAUUUUUCAUUUUAUUGCUUUAUGAUCAGAAAAGGUUAUUUUUGCUUUUCAAAAGAUAUGAAUGGAGGUCUUCUUUCUGGCUGACUAGAGUCCAUUUUUGUGACUAUUAAUAAAUCAUUUUUAAAAAACAGAUAUUCUCUGAUUUUAGGAUAUAGAGUGUGACACUCAGCGUUUCCCUCAUUGUGUGACUAUGUGUCGUUUAGGGUUUUCCUUCUGGUGUGUGUGCCUACAUGCUCCACUUGUCACCUUCAGCCUUUCCCUUUAGUGUGUGUGUGUCUACACAGCGUGUGCACACACAUGUGUGUGCGCAUAUGCAUGUGUGUGCACAUGUGUGUGCACAUGUGUGUGCACGUGUGUGUCUACACAUGUGUGCGCGUGCACAUGUGUGUGUCUGCAAUGCUCCACUUCUCACCCUUCAGAGUUUUCUGCUCAUUUACUGUUUCUUUUUCCUUCACUCUGUGCCACUCUUUCCCGUCUCGUAUUUUGCAAAGGCAACAAAAUCCACCUCUGACAGGUCUCCUAUCUGCAGAUCAGAUGAGCUCAGAGCAGCGUCUGGGCCCUGACAUGUUCUGCAGAGGCGCAGGCCAGGCUUGGAAAGCCCAGCGGGGGAAUCUGGAAGGAGAGAGGAACGUGUUAUAACAGUCGGCACGACUGAGACUGGCACAUCUUUGGCCUGGGACCCAUCGGCUGAACUUUCUUACAUGGUGGGUGUGUAUCAACACGAGACCUUGGAACUCGUACCUGCACGGCAGCCAGGGAGGGCCAGGUGGUUCUAUGAAUGCGUGAAUGAAUGUCCUCUUGAAGCUUAUAUCAUGAAGCUUAUAUCACAGGCAAUUAAAAAUACCUGAAAUAUAUGACUGCCAGACAGUAAUUGGCACUAGACCAAAAAUUAAGCUGGGAAAGAGGACAGUUACGAGGAACAAGGUUUUUAUAGCAUCAGAAAAUGGGAGAAAACAUUUGCAAACCACACAUUUGAUAAUGAGAUAAUAUCCAACAUAUAUAAGGAACUCACACAACUCAAUAGUGAAAAACCAAGUAACUCAAUUUAAAAAUGGACAAAGGACUUGAAUAGGCAUUUUUUUCAAAGAAGACAUACAAAUGGUCAAAAGAUACAUGAAAAGAUGCCGAACGUCACUCAUCGUCAGGGAGAAGCAAAUCAAAACCAUGAAGCCGUGUCACCUCACACCUGUUACAGUGACCGCUGAGAAAAGGCAGAAGACAAGAGGUGCUGGUGAGGCUGUGGGACAGAGGGAGCCCCACGCUCGGUGCCUGGGCAGAGCUCGGUGCGGCCAUCCGCCUCACUCCCAUUAAACUUCUGCUUGUUUCUUUGCAUUUUCCCAGACUUUUAAAGUACAAAUACUAACAAACGCAACUAUAUACGUUUAAUCUCUCCUUUCAUUGUUACACAAAAUGAUUGCACAAUACUCUCAGCUUUUUCAGCUUGCCUUUUACACAGAACUAUAGACCUGGAGAUUUUUGCAUUCCAAUAUAUAGAAAGACUCCUCAUUGUUCUCUAAUGACUGCAUGUUCCAUACUGUAAAUCGCUUCUGCUAAUGGAAAUCCGGAGUGUGUCCGGGUUUUGCUGUUGUAAACAAUGCUGCAGUGGAAAGCCUUGUUUACGUGUCAUUUUGCAGGUGUGCAACUCUGUAGGAUAAAGUUAGAGAAGGGGAGCAACGGGUUAAGGGGUAAUACGCGUGAUAGGUCUGACGGUCAUUGACAGACAGACCAUAGCAGGGCCCGCAGGAGUACUCGCUCCCACGCGCAAGGCAUGCGGGCCUUCUUUCCCUGCAGCCUCCCACGCGCAAGGCAUGCGGGCCUUCUUUCCCUGCAGCCUCCCAUGUGCAAGGCAUGCGGGCCUUCUUUCCCUGCAGCCUCCCACGCGCAAGGCACGCGGGCCUCUUCCCCUGCAGCCUCCCAGCAAGGCACGCGGGCCUCUUCCCCUGCAGCCUCCCAGUGGAAGGCGCUGACAUCUGUCAGAGCUUUGCCAACAUGAUGCCUGAAAACGACAUCUCAGUACAGCUUUAAUUUGCAUUUUUCUUACUCUAAAUACAGUGAGCAUCUCUUUUUGUCUUCUGUAUUUCGUAACUUCAAGACGUAAUUAUCGUCUUUUCCUUUGCCCGUUUUUCUCUUGGAUUGUUGGUCUGCACUCUGUGUUUUUAAGCCAACUGAAAAAUGUUAAAUGCUGUGCAUUAUUUUGGAUCUAAAAAUCCCAUCGCAUUUUUAAUGUUGUAAAACUUAUAAUAACCCUUCCAUUUUAAUAAGAGUAAAUAUGUGUUAUUAUACUACAAAAUAGUUUCUUUGUUCAGAGUCUGAAAUUAGAAAUUUCAAACAUGGCUCAUAUGUAUGUGUGUGUGCAUAUAAUGAAGGCCUUCUUAUAAAGCCAUGUGAGGCCAUAAAACUUUACUCCAAAAAGGGAACCAACCUCAAAUGAGGUCUCUGGAAUAGAGCUAUGCUGAAGCUUAGAAAUAAGGUCUCAGAUUAGUCCAAGCAUUUCUCCCACUAAGGGUAUAACAUUUCUAAUUACAUUUCUAAUUAUUUUAAGCCCGUUUGUUGAACAGAUUCCAGUCUAAAUCAUUAAUAUCAAACCAGAUUCCUGCAGUGGCUGCUUGAAUGUGUAUUGCAUUUAUAUUGAACUCAUUUUAUUAAUAAUUUUUAAAAGAAUAAUAGACAUCAUGAAGUAAAGUGUCAGAGCUUGUCAUCUUGUCUAAUCCCCUCAUUUUAUGUAGGCCUUUAAUAGGGACUUUGAUUUUCACCCUCCCUCUUAAUUUUUCUUUGCCGUUUAAAAUGCAUUCAGUACUGACCUUAACACCUGGUUACAGGUAACUUCACACAACGUCCAUGCUGCCUGAUGCCCCUCAUGCCUUGGUGCACACGAGGUCUUUCUUGUUUAGUUCUUGGCUAUUCCAAAUCUUAGGGGUCACUAGAGAAAAUCGUCUGGGACAGUAAAAGUUCUAUUUUUUUCAGUUAGUAGGCUUCAGUUUCUCCAUGGGUCCCUUAAGGAUUUUUGACUAGAAGCCUUCUAAGUUCCCCAAAGAGCCAACCAUCACUGAGUUUGGGAGGGGAGAGGAGGGUGGGUGAUGGAUUCUCCACUUUCUCCAGGGAAAGCACUGCCCUGUUUGGGGGCAAAGUUAAUAUUUCUGCAUAGCUUUGCUACAUUCUAUUUCCUGAGGUCAUAACAGUCUGGGUUCCAAUUACAUUCCUAGAAUAAUGAGCCUAUUACAGUAAAUGAACAUUUUCAAGGGUGACCGAACAACCGUCUAUUGAGUAUGCCCACACCUAAUAAUUCUCCACUUGGCAGAAGGAGAGAAGGAGGCGUUUGGGUGACAGGAAGUCAUCUGUGAAACGUGAUCGAAGAAGGAGGAUGAGAAGGUAAGGUGGGGCUAGCAUCUCUUCUCUCGUGGCGUCGGCUUCGUCAAGGCCGAGGGGAGACGGAGGCUGCAGGCCUUUUCCGCAAACGCCGAGGCCCCUGACUCCAAACCGCUUCAGGGUCCCCACGAGUCACCUGCUCUAAGUGUCCCCUUUCUCCUUUGAAAGCUGUGGUGGAUAUCAGAUGACAGCCCAGCACCCCGACUUUGUUGGCUUAGCGCUAUCACGGAGAAUGGAGGUGGAUCAAGUAACCCAUGUGGACAGUGAGCUUUAGGAAUAGAUGCUGUCUCAAGUGUUAAAAACAUAGUUUUAAACAAAGCACGUUUUAUGCAACUACAUGGCAAGAAGAAGAAAAAGUUACAUAUAAUUUAUACAUACAAAUUAAUUUAUAAAUAUGUAACUUUAUAUAAUAUCUAGAACACACAUAUAUAAAGCAUAUAAAUCUAUAACAUGUAGGACAGAUGCACAUAUCAAACCAAUGUGUGAGAAAUAUGUGUAGCUGCCACCGGUCCUGUCUGUGUAACUGAUCAUGAGACCAUAGUCGAUAUAUUUUUAAGCACGUUUGUUGACAUAUAAUUCACAUGUCAUGAAAUCCGUCUAUUUAACGUGCCCGGUUCAGUGGCUUGGGGUAUGUUUGCAGAGUUGUGCAACUCUCACCACAGACAUUUUAAUCAGCCUCCAGAGCAAACCCUGUUCCAUCACUCCCCUUUCCACUUGCCCACCCCCUCGUCCCUGGAAACCACUAAUCUACUUCCUGUCUUUAAAGAUUUGCCUAUUCUAAAAUUUUGUAUUUCAUAUAAGUGCAAUCGUACAAUACGUGGUCUUUUGUAAUGAACUUCUUUCAUUUAGCAUGUUUUCAAGACUCCUGAUAUAUUCGUGUGUGUGUGUGUGUUCGGUUGUGUCCGACUCUCUGCAACCCCAUGGACUGUAGCCCACCAGGCUCCUCUGCUCAUGGA
Bubalus bubalis (water buffalo) is the source of this 6735-nucleotide long non-coding RNA. RefSeq lists it as uncharacterized. Lineage: Eukaryota; Metazoa; Chordata; Mammalia; Artiodactyla; Bovidae. The transcript is spliced from 3 exons. The record is from RefSeq and is a predicted model, not a curated record.